ACGGAAGGCAGCAGUGGGGAAUAUUGGGCAAUGGGCGAAAGCCUGACCCAGCAACGCCGCGUGAAGGAAGAAGGCCUUCGGGUUGUAAACUUCUUUUGUCAGGGACGAAGGACGUGACGGUACCUGACGAAUAAGCAACGGCUAACUACGUGCCAGCAGCCGCGGUAAUACGUAGGUUGCAAGCGUUGUCCGGAUUUACUGGGUGUAAAGGGCGUGUAGGCGGAGCUGCAAGUCAGAUGUGAAAUCCCGGGGCUCAACCCCGGAACUGCAUUUGAAACUGUAGCCCUUGAGUAUCGGAGAGGCAAGCGGAAUUCCUAGUGUAGCGGUGAAAUGCGUAGAGAUCAGGAAGAACACCGAUGGCGAAGGCAGCUUGCUGGGGACUUAUCGACGCUCAUGCUCGAAAGUGCGGGUAGCAAACAGGAUUAGAUACCCUGGUA
RNAcentral lists this ribosomal RNA (437 nucleotides) under uncultured Pseudoflavonifractor sp. RNAcentral describes it as "partial 16S ribosomal RNA". It matches the Rfam family "Bacterial small subunit ribosomal RNA", at positions 341 to 792 of the family's 1533-position model. The record is from RNAcentral. Lineage: Bacteria; Bacillati; Bacillota; Clostridia; Eubacteriales; Oscillospiraceae.